Molecule: ribosomal RNA, 391 nt
Filed under: uncultured Flavobacterium sp.
Lineage: Bacteria; Pseudomonadati; Bacteroidota; Flavobacteriia; Flavobacteriales; Flavobacteriaceae
Description: bacterial SSU rRNA
Rfam family: Bacterial small subunit ribosomal RNA
Source: RNAcentral
GAGUUUGAUCGUGGCUCAGGAUGAACGCUAGCGGCAGGCUUAACACAUGCAAGUCGAGGGGUAGAGUAGCAAUACUUGAGACCGGCGCACGGGUGCGUAACGCGUAUGCAACCUACCUUUUACAGAGGGAUAGCCCAGAGAAAUUUGGAUUAAUACCUCAUAGUAUAUGUCUUUCGCAUGUUAGACAUAUACAAAGUUCCAACGGUAAAGAUGGCAUGCGUCCUAUUAGCUAGAUGGUAAGGUAACGGCUUACCAUGGCAACGAUAGGUAGGGUCCUGAGAGGGAGACUCCCCACACUGGUACUGAGACACGGACCAGACUCCUACGGGAGGCAGCAGGUGGGGAAUAUUGGACAAUGGGCGCAAGCCUGAUCCAGCCAUACCGCGUGGGU